CUACUUACUGCUUUAUGUCUCACAAAACAUGUCAACAAUUCAAGGUCACCUUCUUUGCAUAAUGAGAAAGAAAUGUCAGUUCGUAUCCUAUCAUCUUCGCCAGAGCAGGCUUGUGCUAUUGCUGAAACAACUUUUGAGGGAUCAUUUAUUAUCACUGAUGUAUCUGGCAUGAAGCACCUAUCUCUUAACCAUUCCAUUGCCACUAGUAGUCCUAAAACUGUAUGUAGACGUAGGGUUGAUGACCUUUUUCAAUUUGACAUAAGUCCAAUUGUUGCUCAAAGCCCAUUGGUAUUAUCUUCACCUAGUUUACAACUGAAAGUUUCUAAAA
This is a long non-coding RNA of Amphimedon queenslandica, 328 nucleotides long. RefSeq lists it as uncharacterized. NCBI's taxonomy places the organism in Eukaryota, Metazoa, Porifera, Demospongiae, Haplosclerida, Niphatidae. The transcript has 3 exons. The record is from RefSeq and is a predicted model, not a curated record.